CCUACGGGUGGCAGCAGUGAGGAAUAUUGGUCAAUGGGCUCGCGCCUGAACCAGCCAAGUCGCGUGAGGGAAGACUGCCCUAUGGGUUGUAAACCUCUUUUGCCCGGGAGCAACGGCCGCCACGUGUGGCCCCACUGAGAGUACCUGGAGAAAAAGCAUCGGCUAACUCCGUGCCAGCAGCCGCGGUAAUACGGAGGAUGCGAGCGUUAUCCGGAUUUAUUGGGUUUAAGGGGUGCGUAGGCGGAGUGUAAAGUCAGCGGUAAAAUCGCGGGGCUCAACCCCGCUCCGCCGUUGAAACUGGCGUUCUUGAGUGGGAGAGAAGUAUGCGGAAUGCGUGGGGUAGCGGUGAAAUGCAUAGAUAUCACGCAGAACCCCGAUUGCGAAGGCAGCAUGCCGGCGUCCGACUGACGCUGAAGCACGAAAGUGUGGGGAUCGAACAGGAGUAGAUACCCUGGUAGUC
Molecule: ribosomal RNA, 460 nt
Filed under: uncultured bacterium
Lineage: Bacteria
Description: partial 16S ribosomal RNA
Rfam family: Bacterial small subunit ribosomal RNA
Source: RNAcentral